RNAcentral lists this ribosomal RNA (492 nucleotides) under uncultured bacterium. Its description in RNAcentral is "partial 16S ribosomal RNA". It matches the Rfam family "Bacterial small subunit ribosomal RNA", at positions 29 to 507 of the family's 1533-position model. The record is from RNAcentral.
AGUGAACGCUGGCGGUAGGCCUAACACAUGCAAGUCGAACGGCAGCACAGUAAGAGCUUGCUCUUACGGGUGGCGAGUGGCGGACGGGUGAGGAAUACAUCGGAAUCUACUUUUUCGUGGGGGAUAACGUAGGGAAACUUACGCUAAUACCGCAUACGACCUACGGGGGAAAGCAGUGGAUCUUCGGACCUUGCGCGAUUGAAUGAGCCGAUGUCGGAUUAGCUAGUUGGCGGGGUAAAGGCCCACCAAGGCGACGAUCCGUAGCUGGUCUGAGAGGAUGAUCAGCCACACUGGAACUGAGACACGGUCCAGACUACUACGGGAGGCAGCAGUGGGGAAUAUUGGACAAUGGGCGCAAGCCUGAUCCAGCCAUACCGCGUGGGUGAAGAAGGCCUUCGGGUUGUAAAGCCCUUUUGUUGGGAAAGAACAGCAGCAGGUUAAUACCCCGCUGUUCUGACGGUACCCAAAGAAUAAGCACCGGCUAACUUCGUG